GCCGGUGUGGCGGAAUUGGUAGACGCGCUGGAUUCAAAAUCCAGUGUCCGAUGAGGACGUAUCGGUUCGAGCCCGAUCACCGGUA
This 85-nucleotide transfer RNA is filed under the name Candidatus Paralactobacillus gallistercoris. RNAcentral's name for it is "tRNA-Leu". It matches the Rfam family "tRNA". From Rfam's summary of the family: Transfer RNA (tRNA) molecules are approximately 80 nucleotides in length. Their secondary structure includes four short double-helical elements and three loops (D, anti-codon, and T loops). Lineage: Bacteria; Bacillati; Bacillota; Bacilli; Lactobacillales; Lactobacillaceae. The record is from RNAcentral.